This 357-nucleotide ribosomal RNA is filed under the name Buthus occitanus mardochei (Moroccan scorpion). RNAcentral's name for it is "partial 16S ribosomal RNA". The record is from RNAcentral. Lineage: Eukaryota; Metazoa; Arthropoda; Arachnida; Scorpiones; Buthidae.
UCCUUUUUAAACUUUUGCGCAAAAAAGGUAUUUUAAUUCAACAUCGAGGUCAUAAUCUCACUUGUCAAUUAGAUCUUUUAAAGUGAAUUAAGCUGUUAUCCCUAAAGUAACUUAUUCCUUUUUUAGAAAUUCUAGAUACUUAAACAAGUCCGUUUCUUCUUUUAAGAAAAGAUUUUUUCCUAACCGCCCCAGUUAAAUACUUUUCUCUUUAACUAAUAAAAAAAAAUAUAAAGUUUUAUAGGGUCUUCUUGUCUAAAAGANGUAUUUUAGCCUUCUUACUAAAAAGUAAAAUUCAUUUUUUUAGAUAAAAAAANAUUCUCCCGGUUUACUCUUUCAUUCCAGUCUCAAAUUAAAAGA